AACGAGGGCCCUCGGGCCCGAAGCAACUGAUACCCUGCUUCCAGGAAAAGCCUCUAAGCUUCAGUCAUAGAGUGACCGUACCGCAAACCGACACAGGUGGGCUGGUAGAGAAUACCAAGGCGCUUGAGAGAACUCAGGAGAAGGAACUCGGCAAAUUGAUACCGUAACUUCGGGAGAAGGUAUGCCCCGUUAGCUUGUAGGAGUACAUCCGAAGGGCGAAGGGGCCGCAGAGAAUCGGUGGCUGCGACUGUUUAUUAAAAACACAGCACUGUGCAAACACGAAAGUGGACGUAUACGGUGUGACGCCUGCCCGGUACCGGAAGGUUAAGUGAUGGGGUGCAAGCUCUUGAUCGAAGCCCCGGUAAACGGCGGCCGUAACAAUAACGGUCCUAAGGUAGCGAAAUUCCUUGUCGGGUAAGUUCCGACCUGCACGAAUGGCGUAACGAUGGCCACACUGUCUCCUCCUGAGACUCAGCGAAGUUGAAAUGUUUGUGAAGAUGCAAUCUACCCGCGGCUAGACGGAAAGACCCCAUGAACCUUUACUGUAGCUUUGCAUUGGACUUUGACGGGAUUUGUGUAGGAUAGGUGGGAGGCUAUGAAACCAGGACGCUAGUUCGGGUGGAGCCAACCUUGAAAUACCACCCUGGUGUCGUCGAGGUUCUAACCCAGGUCUGUGAAUCCAGAUCGGGGACCGUGCAUGGUGGGCAGUUUGACUGGGGCGGUCUCCUCCUAAAGCGUAACGGAGGAGUACGAAGGUCACCUAGGUACGGUCGGACAUCGUACUGAUAGUGCAAUGGCAAAAGGUGGCUUGACUGCGAGACCCACAAGUCGAGCAGGUGCGAAAGCAGGUCAUAGUGAUCCGGUGGUUCUGUAUGGAAGGGCCAUCGCUCAACGGAUAAAAGGUACUCUGGGGAUAACAGGCUGAUUCCGCCCAAGAGUUCACAUCGACGGCGGAGUUUGGCACCUCGAUGUCGGCUCAUCACAUCCUGGGGCUGUAGCCGGUCCCAAGGGUAUGGCUGUUCGCCAUUUAAAGUGGUACGUGAGCUGGGUUUAAAACGUCGUGAGACAGUUUGGUCCCUAUCUGCCGUGGGCGCUGGAAGUUUGAGAGGGUUUGCUCCUAGUACGAGAGGACCGGAGUGAACGCACCCCUGGUGUACCGGUUGUGACGCCAGUCGCAUCGCCGGGUAGCUAUGUGCGGAAGAGAUAACCGCUGAAAGCAUCUAAGCGGGAAACUCGCCUCAAGAUGAGACUUCCCCGGGGCCUCGAGUCCCCUGAAGGGUCGUUGAAGACCACAACGUUGAUAGGUCGGGUGUGGAAGCGUGGCAACACGUUAAGCUAACCGAUACUAAUUGCCCGUGUGGCUUGAUCC
RNAcentral lists this ribosomal RNA (1369 nucleotides) under metagenome. RNAcentral describes it as "bacterial LSU rRNA". It matches the Rfam family "Bacterial large subunit ribosomal RNA", at positions 1568 to 2925 of the family's 2925-position model. The record is from RNAcentral.